RNA transcript from Canis lupus familiaris (dog), 5597 nucleotides. It is a transcript of the gene named sushi, nidogen and EGF like domains 1, with no coding region annotated. Lineage: Eukaryota; Metazoa; Chordata; Mammalia; Carnivora; Canidae. The record is from RefSeq and is a predicted model, not a curated record. The transcript has 31 exons.
AUGCUGCGCGGCGCCGCCUGGACGCUGCUGGUGGCCGCGGCCCUGGGGCUCGGGGCGCGCGGGGCGCGGGGCGCGGUGGCCCUGGCCGACUUCUACGGCUUCGGCGCGGAGCGCGGCGACGCGGUCACCCCGAAGCAGGACGACGGCGGCUCGGGGCUGCGGCCGCUCUCCCUGCCCUUCCCCUUCUUCGGCGCCGAGCACUCGGGCCUCUACGUGAACAAUAACGGGAUCAUCUCCUUCCUGAAGGAGGUCUCUCAGUUUACCCCAGUGGCCUUUCCCAUCGCCAAGGACCGCUGCGUGGUGGCAGCCUUCUGGGCAGAUGUGGACAAUCGACGUGCGGGUGACGUGUACUACCGGGAGGCCACUGACCCGGCUACGCUGCGCAGAGCCACAGAGGAUGUCAGGCGAUACUUCCCUGAGCUCCCGGACUUCUCUGCUACCUGGGUUUUCAUAGCCACCUGGUACCGCGUGACCUUCUUUGGAGGCAGCGCCUCUUCCCCUGUCAACACGUUCCAGACCGUGCUUAUCACGGACGGCAAGUUCUCCUUCACCAUCUUCAACUAUGAGUCCAUCACGUGGACCACGGGCACACACGCCAGCAGUGGGGGCGACUCCACUGGCCUGGGGGGCAUCGCAGCCCAGGCCGGCUUCAAUGCGGGUGACGGGAGGCGCUACUUCAGCAUCCCCGGCUCCCGCACGGCGGACAUGGCCGAUGUGGAAACCACCACCAACGUGGGCGUGCCCGGGCGCUGGGCGUUCAGAAUCGAUGAUGCCCAGGUGCGCGUGGGGGGCUGCAGCCAUACAACAUCCGUGUGCCUGGCCCUGCGCCCCUGCCUCAACGGCGGCAAGUGCAUUGAUGACUGCGUCACAGGCAACCCCUCCUACACCUGCUCCUGCCUCUCAGGCUUCACGGGGAGGAGAUGUCACCUAGACGUGAACGAAUGUGCUUCCCACCCAUGUCAGAAUGGCGGGACCUGCACACAUGGCGUCAACAGCUUCAGCUGCCAGUGCCCGGCCAGCUUCGGGGGACCCACCUGUGAGACAGCACUGUCUCCAUGCGAUGCCAAGGCGUGCGAGAACGGCGGCCGGUGCCAGGCAGAGCAGGGCUUGGCAGUGUGCCUGUGCCAGGCUGGCUACACGGGCGAGGCCUGCGAGACGGAUGUGGACGAAUGUGCCUCCGGCCCGUGCCUCAACGGGGGCUCGUGUGUUGACCUCGUGGGGAACUUCACCUGCCUGUGCACAGAGCCCUUCGAGGGAGCUCGCUGCGAGACAGGAAGCCACCCAGUGCCAGAGGCCUGCCUCUCAGCCCCGUGCCAGAAUGGGGGCACCUGCGUGGACGCAGAUGAGGGCUACGUGUGCGAGUGCCCCCAGGGCUUCACCGGCCCCGACUGCAGGGAGAGAACUCCUGACCACUGUGAGUGCCGUAACGGUGGCAGAUGCCUGGGUGCCAACACUACCCUCUGCCAGUGCCCCCCAGGCUUCUUUGGGCUCCUCUGUGAAUUUGAAGUCACAGCCACGCCUUGCAACAUGAACACCCAGUGCCCCGAUGGGGGCUACUGCAUGGAGUACGGUGGGAGCUACCUCUGCGUCUGCCACACUGACCACAACGCCAGCCACCCACUGCCGUCACCCUGCGACUCAGAUCCCUGCUUCAACGGAGGCUCCUGUGACGCCCAUGAGGACACCUACACUUGCGAGUGCCCCCGAGGGUUCCAUGGCAGGCACUGCGAGAAAGCCCGGCCACGCCUGUGCAGCUCGGGACCCUGCCGGAACGGGGGCACGUGCAGGGAGGCGGGCAGCGAGUACCACUGCAGCUGCCCCUACCGCUUCACCGGAAGGCACUGCGAGAUCGGGAAGCCAGACUCCUGUGCCUCGGGCCCCUGUCACAACGGCGGCACCUGCUUCCACUACAUUGGCAAAUACAAGUGUGACUGUCCCCCAGGCUUCUCUGGGCGGCACUGCGAGAUAGCCCCCUCCCCCUGCUUCCGGAGCCCCUGCAUGAAUGGGGGCACCUGUGAGGACCUGGGCACGGAUUUCUCCUGCCGCUGCCGAGCAGGGUACACAGGACGCCGGUGCCAGGCAGAGGUGGACUGUGGCCCCCCAGCGGAGGUGAAACAUGCCACGCUGCGCUUCAACGGCACUCGGCUGGGCUCGGUGGCCCUGUACAAGUGUGACCAAGGCUACAGCCUGAGCUCUCCCAACCCCGUCCGCAUCUGCCAGCCACAGGGCGUCUGGAGUGAACCUCCACAGUGCCACGAGACAGACGAGUGCCAAGCGCAGCCCUGCAGAAACGGAGGCUCCUGCAGGGACCUCCCGGGGGCCUUUGUGUGCCAGUGCCCUGCGGGCUUCACUGGAGUCCACUGCGAGACAGAGGUGGAUGCGUGCCACUCCAGCCCCUGCCAGCAUGGAGGCCGGUGCGAGAACGGUGGCGGGGCCUACCUGUGCGUCUGCCCGGAGGGCUUCUUCGGCUACCACUGCGAGACAGUGAGUGACCCCUGCUUCUCCAGCCCCUGUGGGGGCCGCGGCUACUGCUUGGCCAGCAACGGGUCCCACAGCUGCACCUGCAAAGUGGGCUACACGGGCAAGGACUGCGCCAAAGAGCUCUUCCCACCAACGGCCCUCAAGGUGGAGCGAGUGGAAGAGAGUGGGGUCUCCAUCUCCUGGCGUCCACCUGAAGGCCAGGCCGCCAGGCAGAUGCUGGACGGCUACGCGGUCACCUAUACUUCCUCGGACGGUGCCUACCGCCGCACAGACUUUGUGGACCGGAGCCGCUCCUCGCACCAGCUGCGGGCCCUGGCGGCCGGCAGAGCCUACAACAUCUCCGUGUUCUCGGUCAAACGCAAUGCCAACAACAAGAACGACAUCAGCAGGCCGGUGCUGCUGCUCACCCGCACACGACCCCGCCCUGUUGAGGGCCUCGAGGUCACCAAUGUGACAGCCAGCGCCAUCUCAGUGCGGUGGGCUCUGCACAGGAUCCGUCACGCUACCGUCAGCAGCGUCCGCCUGUCCAUCCGGCACCCUGAGGCCCAGGAGGACCAGUCCACCGACCUGGACAAGAGUGUGGACAAGUUCACGUUCGGGGCCCUGCUGCCAGGAAGGAGAUACGCCAUCCGGGCGAUUGCCCUCAGCGGGCUUGGGGGACACGAGCCUCCCACCGAGAGCCUGGCCUCGGCCCCGCUGCACGUGUGGACCCGGCCCCUGCCACCAGCAAACCUGACGGCUGCCAGAGUCACAGCCACCUCUGCCCAUGUGGUCUGGGACACCCCCACUCCAAACACCUUGCUGGAGGCGUACGUCAUCAACGUGACCACCAGCCAGAGCACCAAGAGCCGCUAUGUCCCCAACGGGAGGCUGACAUCCUACACAGUGCGGGACCUGAUGCCAGGACGGCGGUACCAGCUGUCGGUGACCGCCGUGCAGAGCGCAGAGGGCGACCAGCUGCACAGCGACCCUGCCCACCUCUACAUCAUCACCUCCGCGAGGGACGGCGCCGACAGACGCUGGCACAGGGAGGGGCUGCAUCCCCGGGUGCUCCGGAACAGACCGCCGCCCGCGCGCCUGCCGGAGCUGCGCCUGCUCAGUGACCGCGACGCGCCUGAAACCCAGACCCCGGCCCCCAGGUUCUCGGAGCUGGUGGACGGCAGAGGGCGAGUGAGUGCCAAGUUUGGGGGCUCGCCUGGCAAAUCGGUCACCGUGAGAUCGCAACCCACGGCUGUGGUGCAGCUUGAGAACACGGAGGAGGCCCCCAAGCAGGUGCCUGAGCAGGUCAGCCUGGCCCUCCAGCUGCCCGAACAUGGCAGCGACAAGGACGUGGCAAACACCCCUGGGAACUGCUCAGAAAACCCCUGUCAGAAUGGAGGCACCUGCGUGCCAGGUGUGGACACCCACAGCUGUGACUGCAGCCCAGGGUUCAAAGGCAGACGCUGUGAGCUCGCAUGUACGAAGGUGCCCCGGCCCUGCACCCGGCUCUUCUCAGAGACCAAGGCCGUGCCGGUCUGGGAAGGAGGCGCCUGUCACCACAUGUAUAAAAGAGUCUACAAAGUGCACCAGGACAUCUGCUUCAAAGAGAGCUGUGAAAGCACAAGCGUCAAGAAGACCCCAAACAGGUGCCAUCCCAGGGAGGAGGCCCACACUGUGUCCUGCUUAUAGUUCACAGGGAAACACAGUAACAGUCCAACACUGAAGAAAUCUUAGGGCACAGGGAUUCAGGAUGUUCUUGUUACACUUCAUCAACCUCACGAGCUCCCAAAGCCCAGGAAGACGGGCUGUAAAAUUGGAUUGAAAGGACACCCUGAAAGAACAGGUCCUGGCUCGCAUCCGCCCCCUCUGCGGCUUCCCUCCUCUGGCAUCUAGAAGACAGACGGCCAAGCAGAGCCGGCUCCAGCCCACCUCCCUUCCUGGCCGCGCCGGGGAGACCCUCUGGGCCAAAUCACCUCCAAGUCCUGCGGUGCUGGCAGCAGCCUGCUCCGUACCCCGGCUGCCGUGGCCCUGGCUGCCGUCUCCCACGGGGAUAGCGCGCUGCGGCCAGGGAGCAACCACAGCGCAUGCACGGGCCCUGGAUGAGCGAGGCUGCCAGCCGGCAAGGCUCCUGCAACACCGGGAACCAGUUCUCAGAUCCCAAAGUCGGAGGGCCAUUCGCCCCCCGGAGACCUAACAAUCAAACUGAGGACGACCUGCUGUCUGGCUUCCACGGCCCAGCCAGCGGUGCCAGCGAGGGCGGGCGGCGAGGCCAGACGGCAGGGAAAGCUGAGUUCUGGGCGCCCCGCCCGGCUCCUCCUGCAAAGUCUUUGCGCUGAUACGCUGCAGGCUGGCGCCCCAUCACACAGGCCAGACUGCGGAACAGAAAAUGUUAAUUAAUACUAAGAUGGAGUCUAGACACUUUUCGCCUGCGACUUUUUCUCAAAGUGACUAUUUUUGGCUUUGUGGACCUAGCGGUCUCUGUGGCAACCAGUCAGCUCGGCGUUGGCAGCACGACCCCGCGGCCAGGCCCUGACCUGAGGGUGUGGCCGUGUUCCAGGAAAGCAGUAUUUACAAACUGGGGGCCCAGGUCCCAUGGCCCAUACGUGGCCAAGCCCCGGUCUGUUCGGGUCACCCAAGCCUUGUGCAGAGAGAGCCACCCCCAGAUGACAAGGAACUGGAGCCCUGAGCCGCCCGGAAGCCAAGGCGGCACCCCCACGCGCGGGGCCUGAACACCAGCCCCCGGGCAGGCCAGAGCCCACCCUACUGCAGAUCCCUUGCUGUCCACGACGCGGUCAACACGGUUCCAGGCUGGCGGCUCGCACAGUUUUUCACACAUUUCCCGCUUUACCAGCAGAACGCUGCCCUGCCUUGCCGCCGGUGCCUGCAGCACGCCUCUCUGAGCCCUGCCUCCUCCCCGCGCAGAGGCUAAGACCAAGUGUGCCAAGCCCGCCUCGUGUCACUUGCAGCACCUUCGUAGCUGACCCAGACUGGAACUCAGGCCCCUGCAUCUGCCACGGCCUCUGCCCCGAGUCAGCACCACAGCCAGAGAGGGCUCCCUCCAUCUUUUAUAAAAACAUUUUCUGAAGAGUUAGAGUAUAUUAUAGGCUUUUUAUUUUUAUUAAAGUUUUGCGUGCAUA